RNAcentral lists this ribosomal RNA (465 nucleotides) under Vreelandella stevensii. RNAcentral describes it as "partial 16S ribosomal RNA". It matches the Rfam family "Bacterial small subunit ribosomal RNA", at positions 338 to 795 of the family's 1533-position model. Lineage: Bacteria; Pseudomonadati; Pseudomonadota; Gammaproteobacteria; Oceanospirillales; Halomonadaceae. The record is from RNAcentral.
CCUACGGGGGGCUGCAGUGGGGAAUAUUGGACAAUGGGCGAAAGCCUGAUCCAGCCAUGCCGCGUGUGUGAAGAAGGCCUUCGGGUUGUAAAGCACUUUCAGUGGGGAAGAAAGCCUUGGGGCUAAUACCCUCGAGGAAGGACAUCACCCACAGAAGAAGCACCGGCUAACUCUGUGCCAGCAGCCGCGGUAAUACGGAGGGUGCGAGCGUUAAUCGGAAUUACUGGGCGUAAAGCGCGCGUAGGCGGUCUGAUAAGCCGGUUGUGAAAGCCCCGGGUUCAACCUGGGAACGGCAUCCGGAACUGUCAGGCUAGAGUGCAGGAGAGGAAGGUAGAAUUCCCGGUGUAGCGGUGAAAUGCGUAGAGAUCGGGAGGAAUACCAGUGGCGAAGGCGGCCUUCUGGACUGACACUGACGCUGAGGUGCGAAAGCGUGGGUAGCAAACAGGAUUAGAUACCCCAGUAGUC